This 837-nucleotide long non-coding RNA is filed under the name Oryctolagus cuniculus (rabbit). RNAcentral's name for it is "lncRNA (ENSOCUG00000035348.1)". Lineage: Eukaryota; Metazoa; Chordata; Mammalia; Lagomorpha; Leporidae. The record is from RNAcentral.
AAAACGCAGCCUUCUCGCCGGGGAGAAUUCCCUGGAGGCGGGUGUUCUCCGUCUCUCACCAAGGGGCUUGUGAUCCUGUGUGGGGGAGACGCGGGCCACCCGCGGCUCCAGUCCCCCUCCAGCUCAUAUCUCGUUCUGCCAGCACCCAGCUCUUGGGCUCCAGGGCUGGGCCAGUCUCCCCCGCGCCCCCCCCCCCCAGGCGUCUGCCCCCCUGAGGACCUCACGCUGGCUGUGGAACUCCCGCCUCCUCCCAGACCAAGCCACUCCCCGCCGGUCCUGGAAGCUGCCAAAAACUCACCGCUUCUUAUAAGUUUCCGUGGCUCCUCAAGCCGCGGCCAGCCACCCCGCUCUCUGUGGCACCUUCUACACUCAGUCCAUGUUUUAAAAAAAAAAAAUUUAUUGAUUUAUUUGAAAGGCAGAGUUCAGAGAGAGAGAGAAAGAGAGAGAGAGAGAGAGAGAGACACACACUCCGCCCGGGGACCCCGCCGACCUCGUCGUGUUGGAGGAAACCACGUGGGAGACUCCUGGUGGACAUCACGGUGCCCACGGAUGCUCAGCCGCACUUCUCCACUCAUCCUGUCUCGCAAGUCAGGCACCCACAGGAGGCUCUCCACGCGUGGGCGCCAUCUGCACUUCCUCCCGCGUCUGCCUGGGUCUGUCCCCAGGGCUCUGCCUGCUAACUCGUCCUCCCAGGACCUUCCAAGAACGGAUCUGCUUCAGCCAUCGGCUCUGCCUUGCAGCCGAGGCCGCGGGGGCGGAACUGGCCCUUGCCUCUGCCGCUCUCCCUCUCCAUUACAUGAAACUUCAUUGAUUCAUUGACUGAACACUGGCAUUUCC